GGCGACGUAGCCAAGUGGUAAGGCAGAGGUCUGCAAAACCUCCAUUCACCGGUUCGAAUCCGGUCGUCGCCUCCA
RNAcentral lists this transfer RNA (75 nucleotides) under Kouleothrix aurantiaca. RNAcentral's name for it is "tRNA-Cys". It matches the Rfam family "tRNA". Rfam says of the family: Transfer RNA (tRNA) molecules are approximately 80 nucleotides in length. Their secondary structure includes four short double-helical elements and three loops (D, anti-codon, and T loops). Lineage: Bacteria; Bacillati; Chloroflexota; Chloroflexia; Chloroflexales; Roseiflexaceae. RNAcentral also lists the same sequence under 7 other names. The record is from RNAcentral.